GACAGAGGGUGCAAACGUUGUUCGGAAUUACUGGGCGUAAAGCGCGUGUAGGCGGCCCUGCAAGUCGGGUGUGAAAUCCCACGGCUCAACCGUGGAAGUGCACUCGAAACUGCAGAGCUAGAGUCCUGGAGAGGAAGGUGGAAUGCUUGGUGUAGAGGUGAAAUUCGUAGAUAUCGGGAGGAACACCAGUGGCGAAGGCGACUACCUGGCCUGUUUCUUGACGCUGAGGCGCGAAAGCUAGGGGAGCAAACGGG
Molecule: ribosomal RNA, 254 nt
Filed under: uncultured bacterium
Lineage: Bacteria
Description: partial 16S ribosomal RNA
Rfam family: Bacterial small subunit ribosomal RNA
Source: RNAcentral